Unclassified non-coding RNA from Aotus nancymaae (Ma's night monkey), 102 nucleotides. It matches the Rfam family "Y RNA". Rfam says of the family: Y RNAs are components of the Ro ribonucleoprotein particle (Ro RNP), in association with Ro60 and La proteins. The Y RNAs and Ro60 and La proteins are well conserved, but the function of the Ro RNP is not known. Lineage: Eukaryota; Metazoa; Chordata; Mammalia; Primates; Aotidae. The record is from Ensembl.
AUCAUGUUCCAGUGCAGUGGUAUUUACAAUUAAUUAAUCACAACCAGUUACAGAUUUCUUUGAUCCUUUUCUACUCUUACUGCUUCACCUGACUAGACUUGA